Molecule: non-coding RNA, 123 nt
Filed under: unclassified sequences
Description: skipping-rope RNA
Rfam family: skipping-rope RNA
About the family: Firmicutes, Fusobacteria, AlphaProteobacteria, Spirochaetes. Downstream gene
Source: Rfam by way of RNAcentral
GCAGGUUGAGGAUAGAACGGGCAGCUAUCACCCCUGCCAAGAGUUGAUCGUACUGUAGAGUUCUAUGAGAACUACAGUCCAGGGCUUGGAAAGAGAUGCGGGGGUGCCGACCCGCCAACCUGC